Long non-coding RNA from Falco peregrinus (peregrine falcon), 4147 nucleotides. RefSeq lists it as uncharacterized. NCBI's taxonomy places the organism in Eukaryota, Metazoa, Chordata, Aves, Falconiformes, Falconidae. The transcript has 6 exons. The record is from RefSeq and is a predicted model, not a curated record.
ACCGCACGCAGAGGGGAAAAGCACCCCGCUCCUCCGCUGCGGGCUGUGGCGAGCGGUGCCGGGACGACCGGGGGCGGCCAGAACAAGGCCGUGAGGCAGCCCGGCCCCGAGCCCGGGUCCUGUCAGCGGGAGGCCGCUGGGCGCUCGGCUUGGCGCUGGCUUCCCAGCGUGCGGGGGCGGCUGGCGCGGCUCCCGGCGGCGGGACGAGCUGAGGCAGCGCUCGGGCGGGCAGGGCCGGGCUGCUCGGAACGCGUGGCGGAGCCCUAAGGAUCCUCCCACAGAACCACUGCAGUUAGACAAGCAAAGCAGACUGAUGAGGAGGACAUGAAGUGGAGCAUGAGUUUUACACGUCUCAAAUACAGAACUGGUCUACAUGAGAAUGUUAUGGUGCCACAUUAUUGUGUCCUGCAGAAUGGGAGAUAAUACUGUGAAUUGGAAAAGAUGCUGAGAUAAAAUCUCCUUUGACCUCUUGAGCACAAAGGAAAUGGAUGGGAGACCUGUUUGGUGUUCCUAAUCAUCAAUGACGUGUUUUAUAGAGAUCUGCUUCCGUAAAGACCUCUGUGCUGGGUGAAAUACAAGCAGAGAGGAAAAAACAAAUUUUCUCCAAUUCCUUUGUUAAAAAAGGUAAGGAGAAGGCCCCAGAAUAAUAAUCACUCCUUCCUCUCCUUUACAGAUGAGGUUAAGGCAGACAGAAAUGAAAGGACUCACCACGGUUAUGCCACAGUCAGGAAUUAAACUCAGAGCUUCUGAAUCCAACUCCAGUGCCUGAACCACACAUUCAUUUUCUUCUCUACAUUCCCCAACAGUGUUAGGCCAUGUGGCCACUAUUGGUGAAAUGAAAAACAGGUGCAGAUCCAUGAACAGAUGGGAGACCAGCCCUGGCUGAUCUCUGGAGGAUAAUACAGCAUUGUUUUCCAGCAAAGAGGAUUCCAAAGAACCACAGAGGCAGCACCCCUGCCCUAAAACUGAAGCUGCUCUGCCUCACACUAAAUGUUAUCUCUACCAGCCCAGCAAGUGGGAGUUCUGAGGCAUGGCCUGUUGUCUGUCAGCAAAGGACACUGUCUUACUGACCUCUCAGACUUGCAAUAUUGACAUCUCUGUUUUUCAGGCAUGCAUAUAAAGAUCAUAGAAGGCUAAUUGAAAUUCCAUUCUUUGCUGUAACUGCAGCCAGUGUUUCUACGUUGCUGAAACAUGAAAUUUCUUCCCUUGAGUAGACAAUUUUGAAAUGUCUAACCCUCAAAAAAUGCUAUUAAUCAUGUGCAGAAUCUUUCUCUGGGAAAAUCACUAGUGGUACGGGACAAAUCAGCCAGGUAAGAUGAAUAAUGUAUUUAUUCUGGAUCCAUAAGGACAGAUCUACUUUUGAUUUGCAGUUCAUGGGGAGCUGAUGGCUUACUCCACAAUACUCCAUACAUUGUUAAACAAAGAACUUGGACGGCAUUCCAAGUGGGAGAGUGAUAGUAGAUAACGAACAGAGCGAUUGCCUGGUCCUUGCACAGGAUGAAGUGCUAGCUUGCAAAAUACUUCCCUGCCUUGUGUGACCCACGGUUAUAGUCCCUGCAUGGUACAAGACACAUUUUCCCUCCGUGUGUGAUCCGACGUAUCAGCCAGGAGUAUUAGAGAAGACAUGGCAAUCCUCAGUUUCCAAAGAUCCACAGAGCACACAUCAGACCCAAGAGGAUAGCACAUGCAAGAGGACAGGGUAUGUUUCAUAGAAUCAUAGACUAGUUGGGGUUGGAAGGGACCUCCAAAGGUCAUCUAGUCCAACCGCCCUGCCAUGGGCAGGAACAUCUUCAACUAGAACAGGUUGCUCAGAGCCCCAUCCAACCUGACCUUCAAUGUUUCCAGGGAUGGGACAUCUACCACUUCUCUGGGCAACCUGUGCCGGUGUUUCACCACCCUCACUGUAAAAAUUUCUUCCUUAUAUCUAGUGGGAAUCUACCCGAUUUGAGUUUAAAACCAGUACCCCUUGUUCUAUCACAACAGGCCCUACUAACCUUUCAUCUUAGAUACCACUGGUUCCAGCCUUCUCUUAGGUUGCUUCUUGCAAAAACACUCGUUUAGUGCUGUGUUUGAGAGAGGUUAGUUGCCCUUGCUAAAGCUGCUUUUACAGCAAAAACGCAUGUUCACUUGUGCUAAGAAACUCAAACCCUCACAGUUUCCUUAGACUCAUUUGAACUGGGGGCAUAAAACCUGAUUUGCAACAGUAGGCCAAAACCACACUGCUAACAUACGUGUAUUCUGCUCGUGCUAAACUGCAAAGCAGAUUGGUUGGGAAAAUCUAUCUCGUCCGCGUUAUAGUCAGGUUUUGAAGGAAAACAUUCUCCACAGAUGACGCUAACAGAAUUUAAGAGCAAAGAUGUCCCAGGACACUGGGAAUCUCAAACUGCUUGGCCUCAGUUUCUCUGAUUUGCUCUUCUCAGCUUCGUGUAUGCUCUUUGAGAGACAAAAAAGAGCAUUUCCUUAAUUUUGAGCUUGGAUUUCUUUUCCAGCUGAACACUCACAAAAGCAGCUGGGCCCAGAGGUGGAAUGUUCCAAACCCCCAUUUGGAUCCCAGUAUGUAAGUUAUGGAGUCAGUUGUGGCACCACUUCAUAGAGAACAGACAAUGAGUUUUGGAUCUUCCCUGAAGGUGAGCAUAGUGCUGUGUGCUGGAAUGGAGAAGGACUCGGACUUGCUCUGUCUUCUCCUGUCCCACUGCUCUUCUGGCUGCUGAGGAGGAGGCAGCCGCCUCUUCACCCAGGUGAGGCAGCCCCCUCCCUGGGCCUGGGAGGAGCAGAAGCCGGCAUGCACCAGGCUGGGAGGGAAGGAUCAGACCCAGAGCUGCAAGCCCGAAGGGACAACCCCUCAAGGACGGGCAAAGGAUCAGGCAAGAAGUGGCCCAGAUGCCGACAGGGAAAAUGUUAAUGUUGAUUAAUUCUUGGGAAAAUGUUAACUCUUCUAUAAAGAAUCCAGACUCAGCUUUUAGUAACAGCAUCUAGUCAGUGCCGGAGGAAAAGGUGGAGUCCAUUUUAAGCCUUUCCCAAUGCUUCAGAUUUACGGUAAAGCUUUCCUACGGGAUUCCAAAUGCUCAUUCUAGCAGAAUUGUAUUUAACAAAGGUAUCCUAACAUGCAUCCCUUCCAUUGGAAAACAGAAAAGAAAAAAAGAUUAAGGAGUUGUGGUCUGAAAGUACCUGGAGACAGGACAGAAGCCUGGUGAAGGAAGGAUGAAGAAGGGGAAAAUGCCAUUUUUACUCUCUCUGAAAGAAGUGACUAACUUGUAGCAGGUCUUUGUUCAGAAAAGGGGAGAGGAGUGACGAUGGAAGCUCAAAGGCUGGAUUUAGAAUUAUUACUGAAUUAAGUAUGUGUGCUGGGGAAGGCAGCAGGGCAUCUCUUCCACUGCUGCUAUUAAAGACAUACUUACACCAGCUGAGUGUCACCUCCCCUCUUAGAGAUUUGCCUGUGCUAAAAGCGCCAGCACAUCAGCAACACUUGGCCGUAUAUGCACCCUGACAAGUCUUCUACAACGUAAACUAGAUCACAACAUCGUUACGUUUUCUAAGGUUACGAAGGACAGUCCAGGAGCUGGACGCAGCAGCCACACUGCCUGACACACACCACAUCCAAACACCCUCAGCUCUCCGUUUGCUUUGGUCUUUGAUGUGCUUUUCCGACUAACAUUUAUUUAUUUAGAGAAGAGUUGGAAAAACCCAAGCUUCUGCAAAGUCUGCUUGUUACUGGAGGGUUUUGGCUUGAACAGUUGUGCAUAAAGACAUCACCGCUCUCUGUGUACGCCAUGGACACUGUACACCUUUUUCUUUUGUUAACACUCCCAGAAAGAAAAGUUGUAAUGUGAAGAAAGCUUAAGCUACAGACCUUUCCCCCUCUUUCGUUCACAAGACCUACACAGAAUGCCCUCAUCAACUCGGAACCAACUCGGCACUGAACUGCAACGCACAAAAGGGGCUCAGAUCCCAGAAACUGAUCUCGAGGGGCAAAGUAAAGGAGCGAGAUGCAGCGGGAGGCAGGUGCCCACGGGGUCAGCUGCUGCUCCGUUUGCUGUUUGCCUGGGCAAUCCCCGUCCUGCGCUGCGGCAAGCACAGGGCAGGCACCACUCCUCCUCCGUGCGCCGGCCACUGCGGUACUGGCUUCACGGGGAGCAGCAACGCUUCU